This 286-nucleotide ribosomal RNA is filed under the name uncultured Pseudomonas sp. RNAcentral describes it as "partial 16S ribosomal RNA". It matches the Rfam family "Bacterial small subunit ribosomal RNA", at positions 1096 to 1382 of the family's 1533-position model. The record is from RNAcentral. Lineage: Bacteria; Pseudomonadati; Pseudomonadota; Gammaproteobacteria; Pseudomonadales; Pseudomonadaceae.
GCGCAACCCUUGUCCUUAGUUACCAGCACGUUAUGUGGGCGACUCUAAGGAGACUGCCGGUGACAACCGGAGGAAGGUGGGGAUGACGUCAAGUCAUCAUGGCCCUUACGGCCUGGGCUACACACGUGCUACAAUGGUCGGUACAAAGGGUUGCCAAGCCGCGAGGUGGAGCUAAUCCCAUAAAACCGAUCGUAGUCCGGAUCGCAGUCUGCAACUCGACUGCGUGAAGUCGGAAUCGCUAGUAAUCGUGAAUCAGAAUGUCACGGUGAAUACGUUCCCGGGCCUU